RNAcentral lists this ribosomal RNA (484 nucleotides) under uncultured bacterium. Its description in RNAcentral is "partial 16S ribosomal RNA". It matches the Rfam family "Bacterial small subunit ribosomal RNA", at positions 30 to 507 of the family's 1533-position model. The record is from RNAcentral.
AUUGAACGCUGGCGGCAGGCCUAACACAUGCAAGUCGAGCGGAUGAAGGGAGCUUGCUCCUGGAUUCAGCGGCGGACGGGUGAGUAAUGCCUAGGAAUCUGCCUGGUAGUUGGGGAUAACGUCCGGAAACGGGCGCUAAUACCGCAUACGUCCUGAGGGAGAAAGUGGGGGAUCUUCGGACCUCACGCUAUCAGAUGAGCCUAGGUCGGAUUAGCUAGUUGGUGGGGUAAAGGCCUACCAAGGCGACGAUCCGUAACUGGUCUGAGAGGAUGAUCAGUCACACUGGAACUGAGACACGGUCCAGACUCCUACGGGAGGCAGCAGUGGGGAAUCUUGGACAAUGGGCGAAAGCCUGAUCCAGCCAUGCCGCGUGUGUGAAGAAGGUCUUCGGAUUGUAAAGCACUUUAAGUUGGGAGGAAGGGCAGUAAGUUAAUACCUUGCUGUUUUGACGUUACCAACAGAAUAAGCACCGGCUAACUUCGUG